This 482-nucleotide ribosomal RNA is filed under the name uncultured bacterium. RNAcentral describes it as "partial 16S ribosomal RNA". It matches the Rfam family "Bacterial small subunit ribosomal RNA", at positions 30 to 507 of the family's 1533-position model. The record is from RNAcentral.
AUUGAACGCUGGCGGCAUGCCUUACACAUGCAAGUCGAACGGUAACAGGUCUUCGGAUGCUGACGAGUGGCGAACGGGUGAGUAAUACAUCGGAACGUGCCCGAUCGUGGGGGAUAACGAGGCGAAAGCUUUGCUAAUACCGCAUACGAUCUACGGAUGAAAGCGGGGGAUCUUCGGACCUCGCGCGGACGGAGCGGCCGAUGGCAGAUUAGGUAGUUGGUGGGAUAAAAGCUUACCAAGCCGACGAUCUGUAGCUGGUCUGAGAGGAUGAUCAGCCACACUGGGACUGAGACACGGCCCAGACUCCUACGGGAGACAGCAGUGGGGAAUUUUGGACAAUGGGCGAAAGCCUGAUCCAGCCAUGCCGCGUGCAGGAUGAAGGCCUUCGGGUUGUAAACUGCUUUUGUACGGAACGAAAAGCCUCUUUCUAAUAAAGAGGGGUCAUGACGGUACCGUAAGAAUAAGCACCGGCUAACUACGUG